RNAcentral lists this long non-coding RNA (1055 nucleotides) under Equus caballus (horse). RNAcentral's name for it is "lncRNA (ENSECAG00000050501.1)". Lineage: Eukaryota; Metazoa; Chordata; Mammalia; Perissodactyla; Equidae. The record is from RNAcentral.
GUCUGUCCCAGGAAGGUCAGCAGAAGCGGCUGCAGAGCUGCAGGAUGGCUGGCCUGGUUGACCUUGCUUCGGGGUACAGGCACAAUGAGAAGUAAAAGGGGCCAAUUUGGGAUGUAGCUGGCCCAGAGGAAGCUCUUAAUAAAUGGCAGUCACCAUGAUCCUACCACGUGGUGUGUUUUUGAGGGUCUUGUGUUGUUUGCGACAGCCAAUGUAUUAGUCGUAGUUCACUCUUUCCAUAGGUUCUUCUGUAUCUGCUGAAUAUUAGAAUUUAUUUACUUCUAGUAGGAGAGAAAAAUGAAAAUGGCAAAUCAGAUGGAAAAAUAGAGCUAUUUUCAGAGUAAAUUGAGCUCAGGAAGGAUUGCAGAGGUGUGAUGAAUCAGAGCUCACACAGUCACCUGGGGACACUUAAACGAUUUAAGGACCUGAAAGUACAGAACAGGUGGAUGAUUCAUGGAGGAAAAUCCCUGGGGAGAGGGAAGGGCUAUUUGGGGGGAUUUAAGGGGGAGGGGCUUUAGUUGCAGUUCCAGAAAAGGGCAGCAGCUGGGACCUUUUCCUCUUCCAGGCUCCUUACUCUCCAAAAAUACCUUGGCCUGAAGUCACUUGAGAGGUCUGGCAUUUCAUUUGAAUGAUUCUUUAGAAAUUUCCUGCUAAGCACAGAGUUCUGCAACUGUUUUGUUCUCCUUUCUGGAGCAUCUUUGAGGAUAAGAUGUGCAACCUUUUCAUCUUUGUGGGAGACAAGCUUAGCCCAGCCUCUGCGUACAGGAAUCCUAUGUCUUAAAUAUUUGAUCAAAGGAAGAAAUGAAGAAAAUGCAGAAGAGAGGAGGGAGCAAGGCCAAGUACAGGCAGCACGAGUGUGGGUGGUCAUGGGGGACAGUGGCAGACAUGGGAGACAUUGAGUUUCAUCACGCUUAGUGACGUUUUGUUGUACCCUUGAACUGUGUGUGCCACACUGUUGAGAGUGGCGUGUAGCUGAUGUGGAUUAAGACUGCCCCAGCUAGAGAAGCCCAAGGUGACCUGGCCUACAUGCCAAACUAUACGACCCAGUGGACUUUUUU